Molecule: non-coding RNA, 338 nt
Organism: Lonchura striata (white-rumped munia)
Lineage: Eukaryota; Metazoa; Chordata; Aves; Passeriformes; Estrildidae
Source: RefSeq, a predicted model, not a curated record
CAGUGAUGAUGGCCAUGUAAAACCAGAAGUGAGCCUGCCAUGUGCUGAACACCCAUGUCCAUGGACUCUCAGCUCCCCAGCAGUCAAGUAUCUAUGAAUUACAAAGCUGAAAUUUAUGUUGUCUGUUGUUGAGUGUUUGUCUCUACUUGAUCUCUACCUGUUCCUGAAGGAAAGCCCUGAACUUCUGUCCCUUGAAUAGCUCUCUGCUUCAAGUUCAACAAACUCACCUUGUUAUUGUAGAUCAACCAGAAGAUUUAACUAAGUGGAUUUUGUAUGAAUAAUGCUAUUCAAAAUAAAGACAUGUUCAAGAUUCUCAUUGCAAUAAAAGAGUACGCUCA